RNAcentral lists this ribosomal RNA (279 nucleotides) under uncultured bacterium. RNAcentral describes it as "partial 16S ribosomal RNA". It matches the Rfam family "Bacterial small subunit ribosomal RNA", at positions 506 to 784 of the family's 1533-position model. The record is from RNAcentral.
UGCCAGCCGCCGCGGUAAGACGAAGGUGGCGAGCGCUAUUCGGAUUUACUGGGCAUAAAGCGCGCGUAGGCGGCUAGGUCAGUCGGAGGUGAAAGCCCGCAGCUCAACUGCGGAAUUGCCCCCGAUACUGCCUGGCUUGAGUGCAGGAGGGGUGACUGGAACUCCAGGUGUAGCGGUGAAAUUCGUAGAUAUUCGGAAGAACACCAGUGGCGAAGGCGGCUUUCUGGACCGAUACUGACGCUGAGACGCGAAAGCGUGGGGAGCAAACAGGAUUAGAUA